Molecule: non-coding RNA, 112 nt
Organism: Acanthosepion pharaonis
Lineage: Eukaryota; Metazoa; Mollusca; Cephalopoda; Sepiida; Sepiidae
Source: the annotation of a GenBank genome assembly
UUACGGUUAUAUCACCUUGAAAAACCGAUGUUCAUAUGAUCACUGAAGUUAAGCAACGUCGAUAGAGGUUAGUACCUUGAUGGGUGACUAAUUGGGAAUACCAGGUGCUGUA